This 331-nucleotide unclassified non-coding RNA is filed under the name soil metagenome. RNAcentral's name for it is "partial contains 5.8S ribosomal RNA, internal transcribed spacer 2, and large subunit ribosomal RNA". The stretch from base 1 to 120 matches the Rfam family "5.8S ribosomal RNA", at positions 35 to 154 of the family's 154-position model. The record is from RNAcentral.
GAUGAAGAACGCAGCGAAAUGCGAUAAGUAAUGUGAAUUGCAGAAUUCAGUGAAUCAUCGAAUCUUUGAACGCACAUUGCGCCCCCUGGUAUUCCGGGGGGCAUGCCUGUUCGAGCGUCAUUUCACCACUCAAGCCUCGCUUGGUAUUGGGCAACGCGGUCCGCCGCGUGCCUCAAAUCGACCGGCUGGGUCUUCUGUCCCCUAAGCGUUGUGGAAACUAUUCGCUAAAGGGUGUUCGGGAGGCUACGCCGUAAAACAACCCCAUUUCUAAGGUUGACCUCGGAUCAGGUAGGGAUACCCGCUGAACUUAAACAUAUCAAUAAGCGGAGGA